This 875-nucleotide ribosomal RNA is filed under the name uncultured archaeon. RNAcentral describes it as "bacterial SSU rRNA". It matches the Rfam family "Archaeal small subunit ribosomal RNA", at positions 21 to 902 of the family's 1478-position model. The record is from RNAcentral.
CCUGACYGCUAUCGGAUUGAUACUAAGCCAUGCGAGUCAUUGUAGCAAUACAAGGCAGACGGCUCAGUAACGCGUAGUCAACCUACCCUAUGGACGGGAAUAACCUCGGGAAACUGAGUAUAAUGCCCGAUAGAACACUAUGCCUGGAAAGGUUUGUGUUCCAAACGAUUUAUCGCCGUAGGAUGGGACUGCGGCCUAUCAGUUUGUUGGUGAGGUAAUGGCCCACCAAGACUAUUACAGGUACGGGCUCUGAGAGGAGUAGCCCGGAGAUGGGUACUGAGACACGGACCCAGGCCCUAUGGGGCGCAGCAGGCGAGAAAACUUUGCAAUGUGCGAAAGCACGACAAGGUUAAUCCGAGUGGUUUCUGCUAAAGGAACCUUUUGACAGUCCUAAAAACACUGUUGAAUAAGGGGUGGGCAAGUUCUGGUGUCAGCCGCCGCGGUAAAACCAGCACCUCAAGUGGUCAGGAUGAUUAUUGGGCCUAAAGCAUCCGUAGCCGGCUCUGUUAGUUUUCGGUUAAAUCUGUACGCUCAACGUACAGGCUGCCGGAAAUACUGCAGAGCUAGGGAGUGGGAGAGGUAGACGGUACUCGGUAGGAAGGGGUAAAAUCCUUUUGAUCUAUUGAUGACCACCUGUGGCGAAGGCGGUCUACCAGAACACGUCCGACGGUGAGGGAUGAAAGCUGGGGGAGCAAACCGGAUUAGAUACCCGGGUAGUCCCAGCUGUAAACUAUGCAAACUCAGUGAUGCAUUGGCUUGUGGCCAAUGCAGUGCUGCAKGSAAGCCGUUAAGUUUGCCGCCUGGGAAGUACGUACGCAAGUAUGAAACUUAAAGGAAUUGCCGKGGGAGCACCACACGGGGUGAAKCCUGCGAUC